GCACUGGUAGUUUAUAAUGCUAAAACAAAACACUGAAAAUGUUUAGAUGAUUUUUAACUAAAUCCUAGUGCA
Molecule: transfer RNA, 72 nt
Filed under: Tachyglossus aculeatus (Australian echidna)
Lineage: Eukaryota; Metazoa; Chordata; Mammalia; Monotremata; Tachyglossidae
Description: transfer RNA-Phe
Rfam family: tRNA
About the family: Transfer RNA (tRNA) molecules are approximately 80 nucleotides in length. Their secondary structure includes four short double-helical elements and three loops (D, anti-codon, and T loops).
Source: RNAcentral